This is a non-coding RNA of Schistocerca nitens (vagrant locust), 72 nucleotides long. The record is from the annotation of a RefSeq genome assembly. Lineage: Eukaryota; Metazoa; Arthropoda; Insecta; Orthoptera; Acrididae.
GCCAUGAUGGCGUAGUGGCCAGCGCAUCUGCCUGAUGAGCAGAAGACACAGGUUCGAAUCCCGAUCUUGGUA